GCUUAAUUGGACUCACCACGGGAAACCUCACCCAGCCAGACACUGACAAGACUGACAGAUUGAUAGCUCUUUCUUGAUUCUGUGGGUGGUGGUGCAUGGCCGUUCUUAGUUGGUGGAGUGAUCUGUCUGGUUAAUCCUGAUAACGAACGGGACUUUUGGCAUGCUAACUAGUUACGCCACUCCCGAGCAGUCGGUGUCCCCUAACUUCUUAGCAAAUUAUUUUCUUAAAAGUCUAGUCAAAGUAAAAGCCCAUAAAGUAGUACAUACCCUCGCUCUAUGUGAGAUGC
Molecule: non-coding RNA, 287 nt
Filed under: Erinaceus europaeus (western European hedgehog)
Lineage: Eukaryota; Metazoa; Chordata; Mammalia; Eulipotyphla; Erinaceidae
Description: Eukaryotic small subunit ribosomal RNA
Rfam family: Eukaryotic small subunit ribosomal RNA
Source: Rfam by way of RNAcentral